Long non-coding RNA from Myotis brandtii (Brandt's bat), 1094 nucleotides. RefSeq lists it as uncharacterized. The transcript has 3 exons. The record is from RefSeq and is a predicted model, not a curated record. NCBI's taxonomy places the organism in Eukaryota, Metazoa, Chordata, Mammalia, Chiroptera, Vespertilionidae.
AUCAACAAACGGGAGUUAGCAUUUAAAGGACUUGCUCAAGGCUGGAGGUGAUGGUGCAGACAGAGAACAAGCCCAGGGCAACUGCUCUCACGGGGCACCUGCUAUAUGCUGGCCUGGGUUCCACACAGAGGUACAGAGAUGGUGGAGGGAACAGGACAGGGGUGAAGAAACCAAGGCACAAACCAGUUCAAAUAACUUACCCAAGGCCCAAGUGGUGGAACCAGGAUUAAAUCCCACUGGAUCCCACAGCCCUGACCCCCACCUUGGGUUGACACCAUGGAGUGCCUGGCCUUAGAAGGUAUCUGAGACUACACCUGAAGCUGCUCCAUGAGAAGGAAAGCUUGGGGCAACUGCAGCCACUUUGCCACCAUGAGGGGAGAUAGCGGCAGCCAGGAAGAAGGCCGAGAGAAAAGGUGGAAGAGUCACACCAAUCCCAUAAUCACCUCCCUCUGAUCUGCAGUUUCCUGUGAUAAAUUGGCCUCUAUCAUUUAGUUCUUUAUUACAAGCAUUUUGUUAUUUGAGGCUGAAACAUUCUGGUAGACUGAUUCACGGAAUUUCACUGUUUUCCAAAAUAAUUAAUUGUUGCAGCUAAAAGAGACCUGGGAGAUCAACUAGAUUUGAGUCUCUUUGUAAUAGAAGAAUCGGAGGCAGAUGCAGAGUCAGAGCCACCAGGAGAACCUGGGCCUCCCGAGUCUUAGCUCAUGACAGGUUCCCAACAUCAUGAAGAUGGAGCACCCAGGGCAGGGGCAUGGGUGGACAGCCAGGGUCAGAGUGUGGAUCCUGGCAUCUGAGAGUUGUGGGCAAAAGAAGGGCAGAGUGGGCUGAGCUUGGGCAGGGCUAUGGCCAGAGAUAUCUGAAACACCAGAGUCUGAGGAAAGGCAAGUUAUCACCCCAGCUUUAUGUUAGGGUGCAUGCACGCGCGUGCGCAUACACGCACACGCACACGCAUGUGCACACAGACCUUUGCCCUGGGCUCCACUUCCCAGGCUCGCCGGGUCUCUGGGAUCUCCUGUUUCCCCACUGGCCUGGCAGCGAGAUCCUCUUCCUCUCACCGAUUAGGGCUUUUUGUGGUUUUUGUUUGGUUUCAUGCCCUA